Cyanidioschyzon merolae is the source of this 74-nucleotide non-coding RNA. The record is from Rfam. NCBI's taxonomy places the organism in Eukaryota, Rhodophyta, Bangiophyceae, Cyanidiales, Cyanidiaceae.
GGAUAUAUAGCUCAGUCUGGUAGAGCAUCACGUUGACGUCGUGAGGGUCACCUGUUCAAAUCAGGUUAUAUCCA